AACGAACGCUGGCGGCAUGCCUAACACAUGCAAGUCGAACGAGACCUUCGGGUCUAGUGGCGCACGGGUGCGUAACGCGUGGGAACCUGCCCUUAGGUUCGGAAUAACUCCCCGAAAGGGGUGCUAAUACCGGAUAAUGUCUUCGGACCAAAGAUUUAUCGCCUUUGGAUGGGCCCGCGUUGGAUUAGCUAGUUGGUAGGGUAAAAGCCUACCAAGGCGACGAUCCAUAGCUGGUCUGAGAGGAUGAUCAGCCACACUGGGACUGAGACACGGCCCAGACUCCUCCGGGAGGCAGCAGUGGGGAAUAUUGGACAAUGGGCGAAAGCCUGAUCCAGCAAUGCCGCAUGAGUGAUGAAGGCCUUAGGGUUGUAAAGCUCUUUUACCCGGGAUGAUAAUGACAGUACCGGGCGAAUAAGCCCCGGCUAACUCCGUG
RNAcentral lists this ribosomal RNA (433 nucleotides) under uncultured bacterium. RNAcentral's name for it is "partial 16S ribosomal RNA". It matches the Rfam family "Bacterial small subunit ribosomal RNA", at positions 29 to 507 of the family's 1533-position model. The record is from RNAcentral.